Molecule: ribosomal RNA, 240 nt
Filed under: uncultured bacterium
Lineage: Bacteria
Description: partial 16S ribosomal RNA
Rfam family: Bacterial small subunit ribosomal RNA
Source: RNAcentral
ACCUACGGGAGGCAGCAGUGAGGAAUAUUGGUCAAUGGACGAGAGUAUGAACCAGCCAAGAAGCGUGAAGGAUGAAUGACGUAUGGGUUGUAAACUUCUUUUAUAUGGGAAUAAAAUGUUCCACGCGUGGGAUUUUGUAUGUACCAUAUGAAUAAGGAUCGGAUAACUCCGUGCCAGCAGCGGCGGUAAUACGGAGGAUCCGAGCGUUAUCCGGAUUUAUUGGGUUUAAAGGGAGCGUAG